Molecule: transfer RNA, 65 nt
Filed under: Blaberus sp. B013
Lineage: Eukaryota; Metazoa; Arthropoda; Insecta; Blattodea; Blaberidae
Description: tRNA-Glu
Rfam family: tRNA
About the family: Transfer RNA (tRNA) molecules are approximately 80 nucleotides in length. Their secondary structure includes four short double-helical elements and three loops (D, anti-codon, and T loops).
Source: RNAcentral
AUUUAUGUAGUUUAAAAGAAAACACUACACUUUCACUGUAGAGAUAUUUUUAUUAAUCAUAAAUU